RNAcentral lists this ribosomal RNA (254 nucleotides) under uncultured bacterium. Its description in RNAcentral is "partial 16S ribosomal RNA". It matches the Rfam family "Bacterial small subunit ribosomal RNA", at positions 524 to 776 of the family's 1533-position model. The record is from RNAcentral.
UACGGGGGGAGCAAGCGUUGUUCGGAUUUACUGGGCGUAAAGGGCGCGUAGGCGGUCGUGACAAGUCACUUGUGAAAUCUCUGGGCUUAACCCAGAACGGCCAAGUGAUACUGUCGCGCUAGAGUGCGGAAGGGGCAAUCGGAAUUCUUGGUGUAGCGGUGAAAUGCGUAGAUAUCAAGAGGAACACCUGAGGUGAAGACGGGUUGCUGGGCCGACACUGACGCUGAGGCGCGAAAGCCAGGGGAGCAAACGGG